RNAcentral lists this ribosomal RNA (497 nucleotides) under uncultured bacterium. Its description in RNAcentral is "partial 16S ribosomal RNA". It matches the Rfam family "Bacterial small subunit ribosomal RNA", at positions 28 to 507 of the family's 1533-position model. The record is from RNAcentral.
GAUGAACGCUGGCGGCGUGCCUAAUACAUGCAAGUCGAGCGAACAGAUAAGGAGCUUGCUCCUUUGAAGUUAGCGGCGGACGGGUGAGUAACACGUGGGUAACCUACCUAUAAGACUGGGAUAACUUCGGGAAACCGGAGCUAAUACCGGAUAACAUUUAGAACCGCAUGGUUCUAAAGUGAAAGAUGGUUUUGCUAUCACUUAUAGAUGGACCCGCGCCGUAUUAGCUAGUUGGUAAGGUAACGGCUUACCAAGGCGACGAUACGUAGCCGACCUGAGAGGGUGAUCGGCCACACUGGAACCGAGACACGGUCCAGACUCCUACGGGAGGCAGCAGUAGGGAAUCUUCCGCAAUGGGCGAAAGCCUGACGGAGCAACGCCGCGUGAGUGAUGAAGGGUUUCGGCUCGUAAAACUCUGUUAUUAGGGAAGAACAAAUGUGUAAGUAACUGUGCACAUCUUGACGGUACCUAAUCAGAAAGCCACGGCUAACUACGUG